Molecule: microRNA precursor, 67 nt
Filed under: Bombyx mori (domestic silkworm)
Lineage: Eukaryota; Metazoa; Arthropoda; Insecta; Lepidoptera; Bombycidae
Description: mir-2774 microRNA precursor family
Rfam family: mir-2774 microRNA precursor family
Source: Rfam by way of RNAcentral
ACCACAUUCAGACGUCGGUCUACCGAGCAAAUAUCACCCGCUCAACGGAAGAUCUUCCCUUUGUCCG